UACGAAGGGGGCUAGCGUUGCUCGGAAUCACUGGGCGUAAAGCGCACGUAAGCGGCUUUUUAAGUCAGGGGUGAAAUCCUGGAGCUCAACUCCAGAACUGCCUUUGAUACUGGGAAGCUUGAGUCCGGGAGAGGUGAGUGGAACUCCGAGUGUAGAGGUGAAAUUCGUAGAUAUUCGGAAGAACACCAGUGGCGAAGGCGGCUCACUGGCCCGGUACUGACGCUGAGGUGCGAAAGCGUGGGGAGCAAACAGG
This 253-nucleotide ribosomal RNA is filed under the name uncultured bacterium. RNAcentral describes it as "partial 16S ribosomal RNA". It matches the Rfam family "Bacterial small subunit ribosomal RNA", at positions 524 to 776 of the family's 1533-position model. The record is from RNAcentral.